UGAACCACCAGUGCCCCGCACCAACCCCGGCCCCGUGGGUGCCAUUAACCCCGCACGGCCGCGGGCUGCGCGCUCACCUGGGGCUGCCCCCACCCCAGGGCACCCCGCUGCUCCUGCACUGCCCGCUGCACCGCUGGAGUUUGGCUGUAUGUUUUGCAGGGCCCGGGUUUGCAUUCAGCCAAAGCCAUGCUUGAAGCUGGACAUUGUGCCGCCACCAUGGCCACGGCCUGUACCAAUAUGGGGUUUCUCUUGGGGUGUUCCGUUCCCAUCCCCGUGCCCCGUACCCACGACCAUGGUGCUGCCCAUGCCCCAUGCCAGUACCCAUGCCCAAGUCCCAUGCCCUACGUCCAUGCCCCAUUCCCAUCCCCACGCCCUGUACCCGUGACCACACCGAUGCCCAUUCCUACACCCCAUGCCAUGCUGGUGCCCAGCUCCAUGUCCCUGUGCCCAUGCCCUGUGCUAUGCACAUGCCCACGCCCCAUGCCAGUGUCUUGUGCCCUUGUCCCAUGCCCUGUGCUCAUGCCCAGUGCUGGUGUUGGUGACCACGUCCCAUGCCCUGAAUUCAUGAACUGUGUCCAUUUCCUGUGGCUAUAUCCCCUGCUCUGUCCCCAUGCCCUGUCCCCAUGUCCUGUGCCCAGAUCCCCUGCCCUGUGCCCAUGCCCCAUGCCCAUGUCCCGUUCUCUGUCCCCAUGCCUUGUCCUCAUGCCCUGUGACCAUGCCCUGUGUUCUGUCCCCACGCUCUGUCCCCAUACCCCAUCCCCAUGCUCUAUCCCACGCCCUGUCGCCCACCCCCCAUUCCCAUCCCCAUGCCCUGAACCCACAGCCAUUGUGGUACCUACUCCCACACCCCACACCAUGUCGGUGCCACCCCGGUACCCACCCCCACAUCCUCCAUCCUCUGCCCCGUGCCCUGUGCCCAGGCCCCGUGCCCAUGCUCGAGCAGCACGCUGUCACAGAGGGCUCUGUGCCCAAGCUGCAGCCGCAGCUGGGGGGGCUCAGUCCUGCCCAGGCUCCAGCCCUG
Molecule: long non-coding RNA, 1021 nt
Organism: Gallus gallus (chicken)
Lineage: Eukaryota; Metazoa; Chordata; Aves; Galliformes; Phasianidae
Source: Ensembl